This 66-nucleotide transfer RNA is filed under the name Bactrocera biguttula. RNAcentral's name for it is "tRNA-Ile". The record is from RNAcentral. Lineage: Eukaryota; Metazoa; Arthropoda; Insecta; Diptera; Tephritidae.
AAUGAAUUGCCUGAUAAAAAGGGUUACCUUGAUAGGGUAAAUUAUGUAAUAAUAUUGCAUUCAUUA